This 407-nucleotide long non-coding RNA is filed under the name Elaeis guineensis (African oil palm). Its description in RNAcentral is "long non-coding RNA (EGUI_LNC038107)". The record is from RNAcentral. Lineage: Eukaryota; Viridiplantae; Streptophyta; Magnoliopsida; Arecales; Arecaceae.
GCCAUGGUAUUUUAUGUUCAUGAAUCCAUAUUUUGAUUCACUUUCUAAUUUAAUUCUCUGAUCCUUGUGUGGGGUGUUCUAAAUGUGGUGAAGUGUGCAUAGAGGUUGUGAGUGAUCAAUAAGGGAUCAAUCACUCCUAAUAAGGGAAGUGAACAUCCUAUGUGAUCUCAUAGAUCGAUGAUUCUGGAAGUCUUUGAUCAAAGCAGGAUAAUAAUUAGAAAAGAAUUUUUAAUGUAUCAUCAAUUGAAUCAUCGCCUUCUGAUCGAAAUACAUAUAGAUAAGCAAUUAGAUUUGACAUAUUUUCAUACCCACAGCUCAUCUGAGAUGUUGUUUGACUGAAGAAUUGAAUUAUACGAUAAUUUACCACUGAAGGAUAUUUUGAUAUUUUUUUAUCAAAAUUUUAAAUC